This 341-nucleotide unclassified non-coding RNA is filed under the name Dufourea novaeangliae. RNAcentral describes it as "uncharacterized LOC107194273, transcript variant X2". The record is from RNAcentral. Lineage: Eukaryota; Metazoa; Arthropoda; Insecta; Hymenoptera; Halictidae.
CCCAAUUUUUCUAGUUUCUUUUUAUUCUCCCGAGAACAAGAAGUUUUCGUCAAGGAUAAGGCUGUUUUAUUUGACACAACACUGCACAACACCACGAAACGACUGGACGUAACGCAUGUCCAAAAUUUGUGUCAUUCGUCCUGGACGGUAGGUGAUUGUAUCGUUUCGGAGUUACGGUGUCACCGUUUUCAAGGUCCUGUAAAAAUAUCGCAGUUAUGGGGUUAUUAAUUUCGCGAAUGCAUUCAACACACCGUAAAAAUAGAAUUCGAUUUCGAUGACAGUACGUUCAGCCCGCCAUCUCACGACGACAGCUUUUUUUAUGUACGAUAUCCAAAGACACA